CAGGAGCAGCAGAAAUCCCUCAACAGCAACAUUGUACCCAUCAGGUGCUCCUUUCAGAGGUCGCCAGAGUGAAUAAUCUGGCUCCAGCUCAGCCUAUUGCUAGCGUCCCCCUCUGUCACAUGUCCUCCUUCACUGUGGUCUUCGUCUUUUCCUUAUGCCUGACAGCUCCAUCUUCAACUCCCUUUGUCCAAUAUAUCCACUAUCUCUCCUUUGCACUUGUCCACACAAUCAGCCUGGUUUCUCUAACUUUGCCCACUCAGCCUGAGCUAUCCUUCUGAUGUACUCAUUUCUGGUUAUGUGCUUUGUGAUCACUCCUUAAGUAAAUCUUAACAUCUUCAACUCUGCUUUCUGUCAGUGCCACCGUCUCCAGACCUCCAAACAUCUUAACAGCUCUGCACUGACCGUGAUGGGUUAAGGACUUUCUACGGUCCUGUCCAGCUGAUGGCCUGUCUCCUGGAAACAAUGUUCUUUGGACUGUGCUGGGAGACACAGUAAACAUUCUGGCUGUGACAUGUGUUAAUGUGCAAUCCACGAGGACUUGGAUUACCUGUGUUUGUUUGCUAUUUUGGCCUUAGAGACGCUGAUGUUGUUUUGCUUUCUUUUUAAUCUCCUGUUUAUUUUAAUGAUGUAAGUUAAUUAUAAAUAGUUUAUUGUAAAUAAAUACUAUGCAGUAAGGGGUUUGUAACUGUAUAUGUAAACUUCUGACCACAAUUGUACAUCAGUAUUUUCUGAAGCCAAUCUCAUAUGCUG
Molecule: long non-coding RNA, 750 nt
Organism: Oreochromis niloticus (Nile tilapia)
Lineage: Eukaryota; Metazoa; Chordata; Actinopteri; Cichliformes; Cichlidae
Exons: 3
Source: RefSeq, a predicted model, not a curated record